Dicentrarchus labrax (European seabass) is the source of this 902-nucleotide long non-coding RNA. RefSeq lists it as uncharacterized. The transcript is spliced from 3 exons. The record is from RefSeq and is a predicted model, not a curated record. NCBI's taxonomy places the organism in Eukaryota, Metazoa, Chordata, Actinopteri, Moronidae.
AGGUAGCUCAAAGCUAACUUAGAACAUGGAAGCAACUUUUAUUAAGUUUACCACAAAACGAUGAAAGAUGUCUCUAGGAGGAGAAGAAGAGUUCAAAUGCGACUUCGACUUUAGACUUCCCCAAAGAUACCUGCUCCCGCGCUUUUCCCCCUACAAGUUACUGGUCGCUGUCCCACUGGCACACUGGUUUUCCUAACUGGAAUCAGGACGUCUCUGGUGACACACUGAAUCAUUGGACCAUCAGUGCCAUGCAGUCAUCAAAGGGAUGGGCUCGUUUGGACGUCAGUAUUGAGAGCGCAGCCAACAGGUAAUGUUCAAAGCACAAAGAAAAGUCAGUGGAGACGAAUAAAAACCUGUCAUCACCUCAUUUAGCUCACGCUAGCAGUGUUGGCAACCGCUGUUGUGAUGCUACCAAGGGGCAGAGAAGAUUAGGAGAUAUGAUCCCGUUAGACUUUGUGCUGAUUGUGUUUGUAGAGCCUGAGUAGAAGCUAGCAUCGCGGCUAACAACAACUACAAGAGCGGAGAUGAACGAGGAAAGUGUGAAUUAAAUAAAGUGUUUAAGCUAUAGCCGACAGGCCAAAGUGGCUGCAGAUGAAAGCAACCACAUUUUUUACGAUGUAGAUUACGGAAAUUAUUACAAACAUCUUAAUAUUUGUGGAUAUUGUUUUGCCUCAUGUCGGCUAAUCAGUACAGUCUAUAGUAAUUCACUGCAAGUAAUCAAAUAUGGAAAUUACUUAAAAUGCUGAUAAAUCUGCUUCAUUAUUUUUUUAAGUCAUUGUUUGUUCUAUAAAAUGCCUUAAAAUUGUGAAAAACACCCAAGUUGAUGUAUUUAAAUAUCUUGUUCUUGUACGAUUUUUGCUUAAAAAAAUGACUCAGACAAUAAAUGGAUUAUCAGAAUGGUU